ACUCAGCUGACGGGCAGGCUCCUUAUCGUGGAUGCAGGAGAGGGACCACCAGAAAGGCCCCACCAAAAAAAAAAGCACAUCUGGGCAGAGAGUGUCGGAACAGAAGAGCUAUGUUGUCCCUUGCACCUUGAAGUGAUGAGCAUUGGCAGAUCUCCUGAUCUCAGCCUGGGGCUGCUGACGGUUCAGGUCCAUUUCAGAGAGAGAGAGAGAGCAACAUGCAUGGGGUGAACCUCAAAAGAGAAAAUCUCUGAGACAGGCUGUCUAGACAUUGCAGAUGUGGACAGAUGUUGGGUCUGUAAUUUAUAACAACGGCCUCCAGAAGGCAAUUCCAAUUUGUUUCGCACUAGGAACUGAGCCCAGGACCUCCAACAACACACCAGUCAAGAACUCUACUACUGAGUUAUCCUCCCAACCUCUAGUAUGGGUAGAGGGAUCCUGGAAGACAGCCCGGAGGAAGAAGUCACCAUUUGCUACAGAGGGGACAAAUGGCUCAGAAUGGCAAUUCAGGGCCCCCAGCUUUCUGUUUUUAGAAUCUCUUUUGGAGCCUGGGCCUGAGAGAUGGAGUUAGGUAACCCCGGCGGUUACCGCCUGAACCACUCCUGCUGGCUGCAAAGAAUUGAGGAAGGAGGAACCAGUCUCUGAGCUGUGCGACCCCCAAACUGCUGGCUUCUCCGACCUCAACUGUGUUGUGGAACCGCCAGGGGGCGGCGCGACCCUGUUGGUCGCCAAGGGGAUCUCCGUGCUUCCUCGUCGAGGCUGUCUGUGACCUGUCGCUUCCAAUGCCUGGUCCUUGCAUGGCCAACGACCUCUACCCUCUCCCAGAGGCCUUAAGCUUGUAACCUGUCCCCUCCUGGACUGUGAAAAGAACAUAUAGCCCGACCUCCCUGCCAACAAGCUGUACCAUUGGGAAGAGGAGAGCCCAACGGUAGAAGCUCAUCAAUGAUUCCCAGCCUCUGUUUCCAUCAGAAUUGCUUGAUGAAGCUCCUUUAACACAAAUAGAUUUACUCACAUUCCUUAACUGUAAAAGGUGUGCAUGUGCCAGCAGGGGGUUCUGGAAUCAUGUACCUUUGUCAGAGCUCCCCCAUUUAAUUCUGAUACAAUUCCACGUAUUACCUAAAGAGAACCACUACUGAUG
This 1135-nucleotide long non-coding RNA is filed under the name Mus musculus (house mouse). RNAcentral describes it as "predicted gene 28578". The record is from RNAcentral. Lineage: Eukaryota; Metazoa; Chordata; Mammalia; Rodentia; Muridae.